RNAcentral lists this ribosomal RNA (492 nucleotides) under uncultured bacterium. RNAcentral's name for it is "partial 16S ribosomal RNA". It matches the Rfam family "Bacterial small subunit ribosomal RNA", at positions 29 to 507 of the family's 1533-position model. The record is from RNAcentral.
AGUGAACGCUGGCGGUAGGCCUAACACAUGCAAGUCGAACGGCAGCACAGUAAGAGCUUGCUCUUACGGGUGGCGAGUGGCGGACGGGUGAGGAAUACAUCGGAAUCUACUUUUUCGUGGGGGAUAACGUAGGGAAACUUACGCUAAUACCGCAUACGACAUACGGGUGAAAGCAGGGGAUCUUCGGACCUUGCGCGAUUGAAUGAGCCGAUGUCGGAUUAGCUAGUUGGCGGGGUAAAGGCCCACCCAGGCGACGAUCCGUAGCUGGUCUGAGAGGAUGAUCAGCCACACUGGAACUGAGACACGGUCCAGACUCCUACGGGAGGCAGCAGUGGGGAAUAUUGGACAAUGGGCGCAAGCCUGAUCCAGCCAUACCGCGUGGGUGAAGAAGGCCUUCGGGUUGUAAAGCCCUUUUGUUGGGAAAGAAAAGCAGCAGGUUAAUACCCCGCUGUUCUGACGGUACCCAAAGAAUAAGCACCGGCUAACUUCGUG